UCACUUCCAUGCUGACUGACAGGCUAGCUGCCUUCAGCAGACGUAUUUGUCCAUUGCUACUGAUAUACCUGAUAUGUCCAGAAAUUCCUUUUCAUUUGUGGUUUACUAGAAUUUUUCAACAAAAAGUAAUACAUGUUCUAGCAUGACAAAGGAUGGCUCUGAAAUUACUAUGCAAUGUGUAGGCUGCUACUUAUUAGAGAGUACUAGGGAGAGUAUAUGAUAGUGGUUCUAUACAAUACAGAAUGAGAGACAUAACUGGUGAAUUCAUUUUACUUAGCUUUACUGUAAGAGUGAAGUGAUGGGAAAUUUAUUAUUGCACUACCAUUCUCACUAAGAUAGUUAAUGAUCCGUCGGGAUCGCCUUAAUAAAUCUCUCUUUCAGGGGUUGAUUACUGUAACAAUAAUUCACUCCAGAAUGAAACUUGCAUAUUUGAUCAUUGCCCGGAAACGUAAAUGCUUUACCAAUUUUGAAAAAUAAAAUUGUUUUUACUUUGGACUUUUAUCUCUUUGUAAAGACCCAGCAUGGUCUUUACUCUCUGAUCAAAAGAUUUCUCUACGUAUGAUUUUAAUUUCUCCCUUGUACGUCUAUUGAAACUAGGGUGGGUACGCUUAUGAUUUUAUGUAGCAUCAGAAAACUGCAUUGAUGAGGAAGAAUUCUGGUUCACUGGUGUUUCUCUCUCUCUCUUCAUAUGUGCUCCUUGAAGGAAGAAUAUUAUUCCUGGUCAAUAAUAAGUAAUACUGCAGAAAUCUGAGCUGAGUCUGAUGGCACCCUGCAACAUAUAUAUGAUUAUGCAGCCUGUGUGAUAUUUUGGGAAGUAGACCUGCACAAUGUGGCAUCCUGCUGGUUACUGCUACAACACCAGCCUUCUCACCACCUUCUCUCUGUCAAGUUUUCUCCUCCCAAACUGACUCAGAAGGUGUGCUCACACACAGGGCCAAUUCUUCAGAGAGCCUUCAACCCAGCCUCCAUUUGGGAGCAAUGUGCUAUGCAAUUUGAACACCAUUAUUUGUGCAUUCCAUUGUUUGCAUAGCUGUGUAUGCAAAAGCAGAAAGCAUUUUUUGAAGAUUUCACCCACAAGAUUCCUGAUACAGGGAAUACAUGGCUUAAAAGUCACCAAACAUCCCAUUCCACAUAUUAGCUGCCUCCAAAUGGAAACAGCCAGAAACACUGGGUACCGAAAUACUGAAAGGCCAAGUUUUGGCCUUGGAAACAUUGAUGAAAAAUAAAAAAGGAAAAUACUAGGUAAUCUGGCUUCAUUUGUCAGGUUUAUAGAAGAGGAGUUACCAGUGACCAGAACACCAAAAUAUU
RNAcentral lists this long non-coding RNA (1308 nucleotides) under Chrysemys picta bellii (western painted turtle). RNAcentral describes it as "lncRNA (ENSCPBG00000007171.1)". The record is from RNAcentral. Lineage: Eukaryota; Metazoa; Chordata; Testudines; Emydidae.